CCUGGCUCAGGAUGAACGCUAGCGGCAGGCCUAAUACAUGCAAGUCGGACGGGAUCUAAAAUUAAGCUUGCUUAAUUUUAGUGAGAGUGGCGCACGGGUGCGUAACGCGUGAGCAACCUACCCAUAUCAGGGGGAUAGCCCGGUGAAAAUCGGAUUAACACCGCAGGCACAGCAGCUUCGCAUGAAACCACUGUUAAAUAUUUAUAGGAUAUGGAUGGGCUCGCGUGACAUUAGCUAGUUGGUAAGGUAACGGCUUACCAAGGCAACGAUGUCUAGGGGCUCUGAGAGGAGAAUCCCCCACACUGGUACUGUGACACGGACCAGACUCCUACGGGAGGCAGCAGUAAGGAAUAUUGGUCAAUGGAGGGAACUCUGAACCAGCCAUGCCGCGUGCAGGAUGACUGCCCUAUGGGUUGUAAACUGCUUUUGUCCAGGAAUAAACACCUCUACGUGUAGGGGCUUGAAUGUACUGGAAGAAUAAGGAUCGGCUAACUCCGUGCCAGCAGCCGCGGUAAUACGGAGGAUCCGAGCGUUAUCCGGAUUUAUUGGGUUUAAAGGGUGCGUAGGCGGCCUAUUAAGUCAGGGGUGAAAGACGGCAGCUUAACUGUCGCAGUGCCUUUGAUACUGACAGGCUUGAAUGUGGUUGAAGAUGGCGGAAUGAGACAAGUAGCGGUGAAAUGCAUAGAUAUGUCUCAGAACUCCGAUUGCGAAGGCAGCUGUCUAAGUCAUUAUCGACGCUGAUGCACGAAAGCGUGGGGAUCGAACAGGAUUAGAUACCCUGGUAGUCCACGCCCUAAACGAUGAUAACUCGAUGUUGGCGAUAUAUAGUCAGCGUCUUAGCGAAAGCGUUAAGUUAUCCACCUGGGGAGUACGCCCGCAAGGGUGAAACUCAAAGGAAUUGACGGGGGCCCGCACAAGCGGAGGAGCAUGUGGUUUAAUUCGAUGAUACGCGAGGAACCUUACCCGGGCUUGAAAGUUACUGAAUUAUCUAGAGAUAGAUAAGUCCUUCGGGACAGGAAACUAGGUGCUGCAUGGCUGUCGUCAGCUCGUGCCGUGAGGUGUUGGGUUAAGUCCCGCAACGAGCGCAACCCCUAUGUUUAGUUGCCAGCAUGUAAAGGUGGGGACUCUAAACAGACUGCCAGCGUAAGCUGUGAGGAAGGUGGGGACGACGUCAAAUCAUCAUGGCCCUUACGUCCGGGGCUACACACGUGCCACAAUGGAUGGUACAGCGGGCAGCUACACAGUAAUGUGAUGCUAAUCUCGAGAAGCCAUUCACAGUUCGGAUUGAGGUCUGCAACUCGACCUCAUGAAGUUGGAUUCGCUAGUAAUCGCGUAUCAGCAAUGACGCGGUGAAUACGUUCCCGGGCCUUGUACACACCGCCCGUCAAGCCAUGAGAGUUGGGGGUGCCUAAAGCAUGUAACCGCAAGGAGCGUGUUAGGGUAAAACCG
RNAcentral lists this ribosomal RNA (1449 nucleotides) under Sphingobacterium sp. RNAcentral's name for it is "bacterial SSU rRNA". It matches the Rfam family "Bacterial small subunit ribosomal RNA". The record is from RNAcentral. Lineage: Bacteria; Pseudomonadati; Bacteroidota; Sphingobacteriia; Sphingobacteriales; Sphingobacteriaceae.